This 90-nucleotide transfer RNA is filed under the name bacterium. Its description in RNAcentral is "tRNA-Ser". It matches the Rfam family "tRNA". Rfam says of the family: Transfer RNA (tRNA) molecules are approximately 80 nucleotides in length. Their secondary structure includes four short double-helical elements and three loops (D, anti-codon, and T loops). Further hydrogen bonds mediate the characteristic L-shaped molecular structure. tRNAs have two regions of fundamental functional importance: the anti-codon, which is responsible for specific mRNA codon recognition, and the 3' end, to which the tRNAs corresponding amino acid is attached (by aminoacyl-tRNA synthetases). tRNAs cope with the degeneracy of the genetic code in two manners: having more than one tRNA (with a specific anti-codon) for a particular amino acid; and 'wobble' base-pairing, i.e. permitting non-standard base-pairing at the 3rd anti-codon position. The record is from RNAcentral.
GGAGAGAUGACCGAGUGGUUGAAGGUAGCAGUCUUGAAAACUGCCGUGCCGGCAACGGUACCGUGGGUUCGAAUCCCACUCUCUCCGCCA